UGGGGAAUAUUGCACAAUGGAGGGAACUCUGAUGCAGCAACGCCGCGUGCGGGAUGACGGCCUUCGGGUUGUAAACCGCUUUCAGCCAUGACGAAGCUUUUGUGACGGUAGUGGUAGAAGAAGCACCGGCUAACUACGUGCCAGCAGCCGCGGUGAUACGUAGGGUGCGAGCGUUGUCCGGAAUUAUUGGGCGUAAAGAGCUUGUAGGCGGUUUGUCGCGUCGAUAGUGUAAACACGCAGCUUAACUGUGUGCCUGCUGUCGAUACGGGCUGACUAGAGGAGGGUAGGGGAGAAUGGAAUUCCCGGUGGAGCGGUGGAAUGCGCAGAUAUCGGGAGGAACACCAGUGGCGAGGCGGUUCUCUGGACCUUUCCUGACGCUGAGAAGCGAAAGCGUGGGUAGCAAACAGG
This 408-nucleotide ribosomal RNA is filed under the name Fusobacteriota bacterium. RNAcentral's name for it is "Fusobacteria bacterium partial 16S ribosomal RNA". It matches the Rfam family "Bacterial small subunit ribosomal RNA", at positions 355 to 776 of the family's 1533-position model. Lineage: Bacteria; Fusobacteriati; Fusobacteriota. The record is from RNAcentral.